Long non-coding RNA from Acomys russatus (golden spiny mouse), 201 nucleotides. RefSeq lists it as uncharacterized. Lineage: Eukaryota; Metazoa; Chordata; Mammalia; Rodentia; Muridae. The record is from RefSeq and is a predicted model, not a curated record. The transcript has 3 exons.
ACACUGGCAGGUCCAGGUGUGUAUAUGUAUGUUACACUGGCAGGUCCAGGUUUGUAUAUGUGUGUUACACUGGCAGGUCCAGGUUUGUAUAUGUGUGUUACACUGGCAGGUCCAGGUUUGUAUAUGUGUGUUACACUGGCAGGUCCAGGGGCGUGUGUCUUACACUGGCAAGUCCAGGGGUGUAUUUCUCACACUGGCAGG